AAAAUUUUUUCUCUAUCCUCUUUUACAUUUCUAUUUUCAGAACUUGAUUAACUUAUAUGAAAUAUUCUAUAUCCAUAAAUGAACAUUUCAAGUAACAACAUCCUGAUAAUUACAAUUAAUAAAAGAACCCAUUAAAAAUAUAAUAAAUUGUCGCAUCUCUAGAAGAUUUAAAGUUUUAGAUCAAAUUGUAUGAAACAUCCUGUGUCCACGAUAUUUAACUUUCAGUAGCAAAAUCAGGCAAUUACAAUCGAUAAAAGAAUUCAUUAAAAAAUUCAAUGAGUUGUCACACUUCUUAAAAGCCGUUCAUUACCUGGCUAUAACAUGAAAUAUUUCGAGGACAUCCAGUUCAUUAAAAACGAGUUCUCGACUCGUGAUAUUAAUUCUUCCCGAUGAUAAUUGAAGUAAGAAAGAAAAUAACAAUUUACUUGGAGCAACUUAAUACAAUGAGUUCAUUAAUGAGGAUCCAUACAUCACAGAUUAUGCAAGAUAUAUGAGUGUUGGCCACAGGCAUCGUUAAUUAACAGUUGAAUCAAAAUGAUCAUUCGAUGUGUAAUAGCAUCACAAUUAUUCACGUCGAUCGACACACUGCUGAUCACGUUAUACCCAUUGUCACUGCAUUUGACAGACGCGUCAAUCAAUUUAUAACACAGGCACGGAAGCUAUACGUCCCGUGCAUCCUGAAACAUGGCGAUCAGCGGAAGCCCUCGAAAGUGAAAAAUCCCUUGAAAAAUAGAACGGCUGCCAGGAUGAUCCGUUGUAUAUUGGAGAUAGUUUGGUGAAAAUUGAAAUUUUUCAUCGCGCCGCUUGAACCAUUGUGCAGGGCAGAGCAAAGCAGAGUAAAUUUUAAGGAAGGAAAUAGGAAGGAUAAAAGAUAUGAAAGGAUCAUAAAAAUAAGAAAUAGACAUGAAAAGAAGAGAAAAAGAUAGAUGAAGAUUAAGAAUAAGAAAAAGAAUGAAGAAAAAAAGAAAAAAAAGAGAAGA
Molecule: long non-coding RNA, 980 nt
Organism: Apis dorsata (giant honeybee)
Lineage: Eukaryota; Metazoa; Arthropoda; Insecta; Hymenoptera; Apidae
Exons: 4
Source: RefSeq, a predicted model, not a curated record